This 253-nucleotide ribosomal RNA is filed under the name uncultured bacterium. RNAcentral's name for it is "partial 16S ribosomal RNA". It matches the Rfam family "Bacterial small subunit ribosomal RNA", at positions 524 to 776 of the family's 1533-position model. The record is from RNAcentral.
UACGGGGGGGGCAAGCGUUGUUCGGAAUUACUGGGCGUAAAGGGCGCGUAGGCGGUCGACCAAGUCCGGGGUGAAAUCUUUCGGCUUAACCGGAAAAGUGCCUUGGAUACUGGUCGGCUGGAGGGAGGUAGGGGCAGGUGGAACUUCCAGUGGAGCGGUGAAAUGCGUUGAUAUUGGAAGGAACGCCGGUGGCGAAAGCGACCUGCUGGACCUUUUCUGACGCUGAGGCGCGAAAGCUAGGGGAGCAAACGGG